Camarhynchus parvulus is the source of this 135-nucleotide non-coding RNA. The record is from Ensembl. Lineage: Eukaryota; Metazoa; Chordata; Aves; Passeriformes; Thraupidae.
GUGGCUGCCUUCCCUGCUGCUGCAGUGUGAGAGCUGCACUGCAGCCAGAGGCAGCCACGGACAGCAACACGAGUGGUUCCUGCCGACAGCGUCUGCAGAGAGAUGGGAUUGUUCUGUGCGAUGGUUCCACACACU